RNAcentral lists this ribosomal RNA (541 nucleotides) under uncultured bacterium. RNAcentral describes it as "bacterial SSU rRNA". It matches the Rfam family "Bacterial small subunit ribosomal RNA", at positions 8 to 592 of the family's 1533-position model. The record is from RNAcentral.
AGACUUUGAUUAUGGCUCAGAACGAACGCUGGCGGCAGGCCUAACACAUGCAAGUCGAACGCGUGCCUUCGGGCACGAGUGGCGGACGGGUGAGUAACGCGUGGGAAUUUGCCUUGGGGUACGGAAUAACCGCGGGAAGCUGCGGCUAAUACCGUAUACGUCCUUCGGGAGAAAGAUUUAUCGCCCCAAGAUGAGCCCGCGUCCGAUUAGGUAGUUGGUGAGGUAACGGCUCACCAAGCCUUCGAUCGGUAGCUGGUCUGAGAGGAUGAUCAGCCACACUGGGACUGAGACACGGCCCAGACUCCUACGGGAGGCAGCAGUGGGGAAUAUUGGACAAUGGGGGAAACCCUGAUCCAGCCAUGCCGCGUGAGUGAAGAAGGCCUUAGGGUUGUAAAGCUCUUUCGGUGGUGACGAUGAUGACGGUAGCCACAGAAGAAGCCCCGGCUAACUCCGUGCCAGCAGCCGCGGUAAUACGGAGGGGGCAAGCGUUGUUCGGAAUUACUGGGCGUAAAGGGCCGCGUAGGCGGAUGAUCAAGUCAGA